RNAcentral lists this ribosomal RNA (521 nucleotides) under uncultured bacterium. RNAcentral describes it as "bacterial SSU rRNA". It matches the Rfam family "Bacterial small subunit ribosomal RNA", at positions 355 to 891 of the family's 1533-position model. The record is from RNAcentral.
UGGGGAAUCUUGCACAAUGGGCGAAAGCCUGAUGCAGCAACGCCGCGUGCGGGAAGACAGCCCUAGGGUUGUAAACCGCUUUCAGCAGGGAAGAAACUGACGGUACCUGCAGAAGAAGAUGCGGCCAACUACGUGCCAGCAGCCGCGGUGACACGUAGGCAUCAAGCGUUAUCCGGAUUUAUUGGGCGUAAAGAGCUCGUAGGCGGUUCGGUAAGUCGGGUGUGAAAACUCUGGGCUCAACCCAGAGAGGCCACUCGAUACUGCUGUGACUAGAGUGCGGUAGGGGAGCGGGGAAUUCCUGGUGUAGCGGUGAAAUGCGCAGAUAUCAGGAGGAACACCAGUGGCGAAGGCGCCGCUCUGGGCCGUAACUGACGCUGAGGAGCGAAAGCAUGGGUAGCAAACAGGAUUAGAUACCCUGGUAGUCCAUGCCGUAAACGUUGGGCACUAGGUGUGGGUCUCAACCGAACGAGAUCCGCGCCGUCGCUAACGCAUUAAGUGCCCGCCUGGGAGUACGGUCGCAA